CAGACUUGACAUCCCGAGACCGCCUGUGAAAGCAGGUUUCCUCUUCGGAGGCUCGGUGACAGGUGUUGCAUGGCUGUCAUCAGCUCGUGUCGUGAGAUGUUGGGUUAAGUCCCGCAACGAGCGCAACCCUUGUCCUUAGUUACCAGCGGUUCGGCCGGGCACUCUAGGGAGACUGCCGGUGAUAAACCGGAGGAAGGUGGGGACGACGUCAAGUCAUCACGGCCCUUACGUCUGGGGCUACACACGUGCUACAAUGGCCGGUACAGUGAGACGCAAUACCGCGAGGUGGAGCAAAUCUCAAAAAGCCGGUCUCAGUUCGGAUUGGAGUCUGCAACUCGACUCCAUGAAGU
This 350-nucleotide ribosomal RNA is filed under the name uncultured bacterium. RNAcentral describes it as "bacterial SSU rRNA". It matches the Rfam family "Bacterial small subunit ribosomal RNA", at positions 976 to 1326 of the family's 1533-position model. The record is from RNAcentral.